Molecule: long non-coding RNA, 497 nt
Filed under: Salmo trutta (river trout)
Lineage: Eukaryota; Metazoa; Chordata; Actinopteri; Salmoniformes; Salmonidae
Description: lncRNA (ENSSTUG00000048463.1)
Source: RNAcentral
UUCUUCCUUCACAGAUUCCAUGAAAAGAUGACCUCUUUCCAAAUAUUUGCUUACAUGAUUCAUUUUGUGUAUGGUAUCCUAGCAACAAGGUGUGGCUCAACUAACCCUUUGGCAUGACUUACCCCACUCUCACCUACAGUUCCUUAAAUGUUUCAGACGCACUUUUCCUCUCGCUCCUCAUCAGGAACAUACCGGCUGGCAGAUGCUCCAUGUUAUGCUCCAUAGAGAGGAACCGCAAGGCUGCCCUGCUCCAAUCAGAGAACACCAGGCCACUUGCAAGGACAUGUUUUUUACAGAACAUCAUCUCUUAUAGAAGACUUAACUCAAGUCUGAUCCCAACUUGACCACCACUGGUUAUGAAAACCUGCAUCCUCGCAGUAAAUCGGUAAGUUCCUUAACAAAUACUAAAAUAUAUUCAGACCUUUGUUUCAUCUGUUAUGGCAUUGUGAGUUAGCAUGACUGCUCUUUAGCUAUCAGUUCAUAACCUUUUCGUUUCC